This 80-nucleotide transfer RNA is filed under the name Sphingomonas sp. S2M10. RNAcentral's name for it is "tRNA-Sec". Lineage: Bacteria; Pseudomonadati; Pseudomonadota; Alphaproteobacteria; Sphingomonadales; Sphingomonadaceae. The record is from RNAcentral.
GCUGUUCGAGCAGCGCGCGGAGAUGCUGCGCGCCUUCAACGCGCGCGGCGUGGUCUCUUCGAUCUGCUCGAAGAACGAUU